Non-coding RNA from Phoenicopterus ruber ruber, 73 nucleotides. The record is from Rfam. NCBI's taxonomy places the organism in Eukaryota, Metazoa, Chordata, Aves, Phoenicopteriformes, Phoenicopteridae.
GUUUCUGUAGUGUAGUGGUUAUCACGUUCGCCUAACACGCGAAAGGUCCCUGGCUCGAAACCAGGCAGAAACA